UUCGCAUGGCAUCACACCCUGUGUUGCUCUCCCGCCCGUUCACUCUUGUCACUCGCUACGUCUCGGUCGCGGCUGUGAUGCGAAUUUGCCCACGACGCGGUUGACCCUGGACGCCCUGACGACGACGGGAUGGUCAUGUUAGCUUCGAAAGGAAAUGGACGUGAAGUGAGUUAGGAAGAAGGAAAAAAAGA
RNAcentral lists this long non-coding RNA (191 nucleotides) under Penaeus japonicus. RNAcentral's name for it is "uncharacterized LOC122249149". The record is from RNAcentral. Lineage: Eukaryota; Metazoa; Arthropoda; Malacostraca; Decapoda; Penaeidae.